Molecule: ribosomal RNA, 508 nt
Filed under: uncultured bacterium
Lineage: Bacteria
Description: partial 16S ribosomal RNA
Rfam family: Bacterial small subunit ribosomal RNA
Source: RNAcentral
GAUGAACGCUAGCUACAGGCUUAACACACGCAAGUCGAGGGGAAACGAUAUUGGAAGCUUGCUUCCGAUAGGCGUCGACCCGCGCACGGGUGAGUAACGCGUAUCCAACCUGCCCACCACUCGGGGAUAACCUUGCGAAAGUAAGACUAAUACCCAAUGAUAUCUCUAGAAGACAUCUGAAGGAGAUUAAAGAUUCAUCGGUGAUGGAUGGGGAUGCGUCUGAUUAGCUUGUUGGCGGGGUAACGGCCCACCAAGGCGACGAUCAGUAGGGGUUCUGAGAGGAAGGUCCCCCACAUUGGAACUGAGACACGGUCCAAACUCCUACGGGAGGCAGCAGUGAGGAAUAUUGGUCAAUGGGCGAGAGCCUGAACCAGCCAAGUAGCGUGCAGGAUGACGGCCCUAUGGGUUGUAAACUGCUUUUAUAAGGGAAUAAAGUGAGUCUCGUGAGACUUUUUGCAUGUACCUUAUGAAUAAGGACCGGCUAAUUCCGUGCCAGCAGCCGCAGUAA